CAGAAGGUUUCACACUGACAAGUAACAGGUUGGUUGUACCGACUAUUAGGAAGCAAUGAACAGCGCAAAAUGGAAAUCGACGAUGAACGGCACCAAUAGAGCCCGGUUCCAGGAAGGUGCGUCCGACCGGGGAGCAACCGCUCAGUGCGUCGUUUCGCCAUGCAGGCAGGGUUGCAGAGAGCCAUAAGCCAGGAGCUAAGGUUCGGAGGGAGUGGAGUGGAGCACCCCGGCAGGCUAACGACGCCUUCAGUACUCGUUCACAAAACGGUUAGAUCCUCAAGAUCCUCAUUGCCGGAGCGGCACAGUGCCAACCGCGCCCGGAUACAUGACAGCUGUCUGGAUUUAGAUACCCGAGUAUGCCAUCAUACCCGGUUUUGCCACAAAAACCCGUCGUUCGGUCUUUGCCGAACAUUGGCAGGAUCGACCAUCGCAAAGGAUCGACUUCAACACGCUGCCUUCACACAACAACCCUGUCUUGCUGUUGCUGCUGCACUGUUGAACGUACCGAGCGUUACCGGGCGUUACCGAUUCCCGAAACCUUCUUGAUGGCAGCUCAUCGAGAAGCGUAUUAGAUCUAAGGGCUCCACUUUAGAGCUCGGUUGGUUGCUUUCUUUUCUACCGAGCCGAGGCUCUGCAAACGUCGCAUAAUGCAAAAUAAUGACACCGUUGUCGAUGGGCAAUUACGGGCUAAUGCGGUGAAUUGUAAUACGCUUUCGAUUAGAUCUUGAGGCGCCCGCACGAACAUCCUUCUUUACAGCCCGGUGAAGGUGUGAAAUGGAGUGUGAUAAUUUUGUAAGUGUGCAUGCGAGCAUCUGUACCGUGCAGAUGAUUGAUCUUUCGACGAAAAUACGGAACUUAGAAAGAAAAAAAAACAGGUACCUUACGCAGGUAAUGCUAUUGAAGGCUCAUUAUGCCGACUGAUGUGAAAAAAUGAACUCCAACGCUGUGUGUAGAGUGUACCCUGAAUAACAAGUAUAGUAGUAAAAGUAAGCUUUUGAUGCAUAAUAAGGUUUGCGCUGUAACCGAGUUACGCUGUAAGCUUUCCUUUGUUGCUGAAGACAUUUACAUGCGCGCACAGCCGGUAUUCUUUGAUUAAAAUUUUAUACCAUUCGCUGAUGAGAUGCUUGGUGUGGUAAAGAUGAAAAAAAAAGGAAUCUGACUUUUGUUAUAACGUCUUAUGUUGACGUCUAACUUAUUCAGAUAUACUUAAUUAUAAAUCAAUUUAUUAUAUGAAAAGAGUCUUAAAAUGUGGGCAAAGACGUUUUUUUAUAUAUUUACAAAUUGUAAUUCUCAUUCCAAAUUUGCUUUUGAUGAAGGGCCUGAGACAAGUUAACCAAUAAAAAAAUUAAUAAAAACUAA
Molecule: long non-coding RNA, 1359 nt
Organism: Anopheles gambiae (African malaria mosquito)
Lineage: Eukaryota; Metazoa; Arthropoda; Insecta; Diptera; Culicidae
Exons: 2
Source: RefSeq, a predicted model, not a curated record